RNAcentral lists this ribosomal RNA (425 nucleotides) under uncultured bacterium. RNAcentral describes it as "partial 16S ribosomal RNA". It matches the Rfam family "Bacterial small subunit ribosomal RNA", at positions 354 to 796 of the family's 1533-position model. The record is from RNAcentral.
GUGGGGAAUAUUGGGCAAUGGGGGAAACCCUGACCCAGCAACGCCGCGUGAAGGAAGAAGGUUUUCGGAUCGUAAACUUCUAUCCUUGGUGAAGAUAAUGACGGUAGCCAAGAAGGAAGCCCCGGCUAACUACGUGCCAGCAGCCGCGGUAAUACGUAGGGGGCAAGCGUUGUCCGGAAUGAUUGGGCGUAAAGGGCGCGUAGGCGGCCUGGUAAGUCUGGAGGGAAAGUCCUGCUUUUAAGGUGGGAAUUGCUUUGGAUACUGUCGGGCUUGAGUGCAGGAGAGGUAAGCGGAAUUCCCGGUGUAGCGGUGAAAUGCGUAGAGAUCGGGAGGAACACCAGUGGCGAAGGCGGCUUACUGGACUGUAACUGACGCUGAGGCGCGAAAGUGUGGGGAGCAAACAGGAUUAGAAACCCUAGUAGUCC